RNAcentral lists this ribosomal RNA (301 nucleotides) under uncultured bacterium. RNAcentral's name for it is "partial 16S ribosomal RNA". It matches the Rfam family "Bacterial small subunit ribosomal RNA", at positions 509 to 809 of the family's 1533-position model. The record is from RNAcentral.
CAGUAGCCGCGGUAAUACGUAGGUGGCAAGCGUUGUCCGGAAUUAUUGGGCGUAAAGGGCUCGCAGGCGGUUUCUUAAGUCUGAUGUGAAAGCCCCCGGCUCAACCGGGGAGGGUCAUUGGAAACUGGGAAACUUGAGUGCAGAAGAGGAGAGUGGAAUUCCACGUGUAGCGGUGAAAUGCGUAGAGAUGUGGAGGAACACCAGUGGCGAAGGCGACUCUUUGGUCUGUAACUGACGCUGAGGAGCGAAAGCGUGGGGAGCGAACAGGAUUAGAUACCCCCGUAGUCCCUGUCUCUUAUAA